GUGGGGAAUUUUGCGCAAUGGGGGAAACCCUGACGCAGCAACGCCGCGUGAGUGAUGAAGGCCUUCGGGUCGUAAAGCUCUGUCAAGAGGGAAGAAGUGUAGUGCGGUUAAUACCCGUGCUAUUUGACGGUACCUCUGAAGGAAGCACCGGCUAACUCCGUGCCAGCAGCCGCGGUAAUACGGGGGGUGCAAGCGUUGUUCGGAUUUAUUGGGCGUAAAGCGCGUGUAGGCGGUUUCUUUAGUCUGAUGUGAAAGCCCCGGGCUCAACCUGGGAAGUGCAUUGGAUACUGGGAGACUUGAGUACGGGAGAGGGUAGUGGAAUUCCGAGUGUAGGAGUGAAAUCCGUAGAUAUUCGGAGGAACACCGGUGGCGAAGGCGGCUACCUGGACCGAUACUGACGCUGAGACGCGAAAGCGUGGGGAGCAAACAGGAUUAGAAACCCUAGUAGUCC
RNAcentral lists this ribosomal RNA (451 nucleotides) under uncultured bacterium. RNAcentral's name for it is "bacterial SSU rRNA". It matches the Rfam family "Bacterial small subunit ribosomal RNA", at positions 354 to 796 of the family's 1533-position model. The record is from RNAcentral.